CUUCCCAACUCUGUCAUAGAUGGGGCCGGAGUCUGCGGAAGUGGACCUUCACUGGUUCGCGGAUGCUGUUAAUCGAAGAGGUUAACAUUACACAUGCGACGCAUGUUUUGACCGCCCGUCGUUAUCACUGUGAAUAAAACAGCGUGUUCAAAGCAGCCGCUCGCGGUUGUAUGACAAAGCAUGGAAUGACAAAGCAACGACCAGUUGGUCUGUCUUUUGUCGGUUUUUACAAUCAACUUGGGUAAUCCGUUUACGAGGCCUUCCCACGCCGUUUACCGGUGUUGGAACUUCGUCGAACACGGGAUUAAUGGGGGUUGUCGGGGGAAAACGUAUCUGAGCGUGAGAGGUGAAAUUCUUAGACCGCUCGGGGACGAACUUAUGCGAAGGCAUUUUCCAAGUAUACCUUCAUCAAUUAAGAACUAAAGUGUGGAGAUCGAAGAUGAUUAGAUACCAUUGUAGUCCACUACUGCAAACGAUGACGCCCAUGGAUCGGAUAGUUUUUUGCUCUGAUGGGAUCUUUUCGGCACUGCUCCCCCUUCAACGCGAAAGCUGAGGCUAUGGUCUCAUGGGGGAGUACGUUCGCAAGGCUGAAACUUAAAGAAAUUGACGGAAUGGCACCACCAGGCGUGGAGUGUGCGGUUUAAUUUGACUCA
RNAcentral lists this ribosomal RNA (653 nucleotides) under uncultured marine eukaryote. Its description in RNAcentral is "bacterial SSU rRNA". It matches the Rfam family "Eukaryotic small subunit ribosomal RNA", at positions 639 to 1202 of the family's 1831-position model. The record is from RNAcentral.